GUAGUCUCUGUGGGACCGACUCUCGGUGGUCGGGAAAUGAGACUUUCGUGGACGUCUGUUCCCAUUGUAGGUUGGAAGGAAAUACAGCAGUUAACCACCUGAAAUCUCAGUAGACAAGAGGAGAAUGCCAUAAAGUUUUACAGCUGUGGGACAGAAGAUUGCAAAAUAUGGAAAACCUGAGACCUGGAAAGUCCCAAAAUAACAGGUCCAGCCAGUGGCCAAGCCAGGAUGGAGCCCCAGUUCUACUGUGCACUGGAUGGCACCCUUUACAGUUUGCCAAGCUGUUCCUACUGGCCAAGAUUGCCAGCUACAUUGUAGGGUAUGCACAUAUUAUCUACACACUGAAUAAGAAGAGAAUAAAUAACAUCUCUGAAAAAAAA
Pteropus alecto (black flying fox) is the source of this 380-nucleotide long non-coding RNA. RefSeq lists it as uncharacterized. The record is from RefSeq and is a predicted model, not a curated record. Lineage: Eukaryota; Metazoa; Chordata; Mammalia; Chiroptera; Pteropodidae. The transcript has 3 exons.